CGGCCAGUAGCGCAGCCUGGUAGCGCACAUGCCUUGGGCGCAUGGGGUCGUGAGUUCAAAUCUCGCCUGGCCGACCA
Molecule: transfer RNA, 77 nt
Filed under: Candidatus Rifleibacteriota bacterium
Lineage: Bacteria; Candidatus Rifleibacteriota
Description: tRNA-Pro
Rfam family: tRNA
About the family: Transfer RNA (tRNA) molecules are approximately 80 nucleotides in length. Their secondary structure includes four short double-helical elements and three loops (D, anti-codon, and T loops). Further hydrogen bonds mediate the characteristic L-shaped molecular structure. tRNAs have two regions of fundamental functional importance: the anti-codon, which is responsible for specific mRNA codon recognition, and the 3' end, to which the tRNAs corresponding amino acid is attached (by aminoacyl-tRNA synthetases). tRNAs cope with the degeneracy of the genetic code in two manners: having more than one tRNA (with a specific anti-codon) for a particular amino acid; and 'wobble' base-pairing, i.e. permitting non-standard base-pairing at the 3rd anti-codon position.
Source: RNAcentral